This 73-nucleotide transfer RNA is filed under the name Marmota marmota marmota (Alpine marmot). It matches the Rfam family "tRNA". Rfam says of the family: Transfer RNA (tRNA) molecules are approximately 80 nucleotides in length. Their secondary structure includes four short double-helical elements and three loops (D, anti-codon, and T loops). RNAcentral also lists the same sequence under 3 other names. The record is from Rfam by way of RNAcentral. Lineage: Eukaryota; Metazoa; Chordata; Mammalia; Rodentia; Sciuridae.
GGGAAUAUAGCUCAGUUGGUAGUGUGCUUGACUUGCACGCACAAGGCCCUGGGUUCAAUUCCCAGCACUGCCA